RNAcentral lists this ribosomal RNA (396 nucleotides) under uncultured bacterium. RNAcentral's name for it is "bacterial SSU rRNA". It matches the Rfam family "Bacterial small subunit ribosomal RNA", at positions 29 to 426 of the family's 1533-position model. The record is from RNAcentral.
AUUGGACGCUGGCGGCAUGCCUUACACAUGCAAGUCGAACGGCAGCACGGGAGCAAUCCUGGUGGCGAGUGGCGAACGGGUGAGUAAUGCAUCGGAACGUGCCCAAUCGUGGGGGAUAACGUAGCGAAAGUUACGCUAAUACCGCAUAAGCCCUGAGGGGGAAAGUGGGGGACCGCAAGGCCUCACGCGAAUGGAGCGGCCGAUGUCAGAUUAGCUAGUUGGUGGGGUAAAGGCCCACCAAGGCGACGAUCUGUAGCGGGUCUGAGAGGAUGAUCCGCCACACUGGGACUGAGACACGGCCCAGACUCCUACGGGAGGCAGCAGUGGGGAAUUUUGGACAAUGGGCGCAAGCCUGAUCCAGCCAUGCCGCGUGCGGGACGAAGGCCUUCGGGUUGU